RNAcentral lists this ribosomal RNA (433 nucleotides) under uncultured bacterium. Its description in RNAcentral is "partial 16S ribosomal RNA". It matches the Rfam family "Bacterial small subunit ribosomal RNA", at positions 29 to 507 of the family's 1533-position model. The record is from RNAcentral.
AACGAACGCUGGCGGCAUGCCUAACACAUGCAAGUCGAACGAGACCUUCGGGUCUAGUGGCGCACGGGUGCGUAACGCGUGGGAACCUGCCCUUAGGUUCGGAAUAACUCCCCGAAAGGGGUGCUAAUACCGGAUAAUGUCUUCGGACCAAAGAUUUAUCGCCUUUGGAUGGGCCCGCGUUGGAUUAGCUAGUUGGUAGGAUAAAAGCCUACCAAGGCGACGAUCCAUAGCUGGUCUGAGAGGAUGAUCAGCCACACUGGGACUGAGACACGGCCCAGACUCCUACGGGAGGCAGCAGUGGGGAAUAUUGGACAAUGGGCGAAAGCCUGAUCCAGCAAUGCCGCGUGAGUGAUGAAGGCCUUAGGGUUGUAAAGCCCUUUUACCCGGGAUGAUAAUGACAGUACCGGGAGAAUAAGCUCCGGCUAACUCCGUG